CGAAUUCGAAUUGGCUCGCUGUCGUUGACAGCGCCUCCCAAGGAGCCAGGGUUUAAGGCUCCGGCGCGCAAGCGCUAACCCACCCAAGACCGCCACAGCACUCGGCAGCGCGGUCGCAUCACGCAAGUGAUGGAGUGC
This is a non-coding RNA of Pseudomonas aeruginosa, 138 nucleotides long. The record is from Rfam. NCBI's taxonomy places the organism in Bacteria, Pseudomonadati, Pseudomonadota, Gammaproteobacteria, Pseudomonadales, Pseudomonadaceae.